Non-coding RNA from Picea glauca (white spruce), 73 nucleotides. The record is from Rfam. Lineage: Eukaryota; Viridiplantae; Streptophyta; Pinopsida; Pinales; Pinaceae.
GGGGAUGUAGCUCAAACGGUAGAGUGAUUGCUUUGCAUGCUAAAGGUACGGGGUUCGAUACCCCGCAUCUCCA